Molecule: ribosomal RNA, 119 nt
Filed under: Plasmodium falciparum (malaria parasite P. falciparum)
Lineage: Eukaryota; Apicomplexa; Aconoidasida; Haemosporida; Plasmodiidae
Source: RNAcentral
GACUCGUUCAUACUACAGUGGCCACACCAGAUCCCAUCAGAACUCUGAAGUUAAGCACUGUAAGGCUUGGCUAGUACUGAGGUGGGAGACCGCUCGGGAACACCAGGUGAUGAGUCAUU